Hypomesus transpacificus is the source of this 971-nucleotide long non-coding RNA. RefSeq lists it as uncharacterized. NCBI's taxonomy places the organism in Eukaryota, Metazoa, Chordata, Actinopteri, Osmeriformes, Osmeridae. The record is from RefSeq and is a predicted model, not a curated record. The transcript has 3 exons.
CCAGUAUCAGGUUCUCUCGGUUUGGUGGGUCGGACAGUCCUAUUUUCUCUUACCUUUUUAGAUGACUUCUAUGUUAGACGCGUUAAGCGAGAUCUGGGCGGACCACCCUGUAUUUUGACAGGGCACCUUGAUCGUGUGCCAGGCUAGCUUAGUGCGGGUAGGCAGUUAGGACAGGAAAGGGGUGGAACGUCUUCUUUUGAUUUCUUUGAUUUGGUUCCGUCCAGCCCCUUCCCUAACAUUGACCGUUGAGUAAAGCCCUUUUUGAUUUCACUUGACAUUUUGCCUCAGUGUCCUUGCUCGCACCUACGACUCCAAGCCCUCUUUACUGUCCACUGGUUGUCAUUGAGCAGCGGGCUGUCGGUUUCCACCCUCGGGAGGCGUACAUAACAGGUGGGGGCUCGUCCGGGAUCCGCGCCCGCUGCUCUAGCAACAAAUCAGUGGCUGGCGUCUUUGGUGUGGAGUAGGGACUGGCUACGUGGUCUCUCUGGCUAGGGCUGUUUUGGUUCAAGUGUGUUUGUGUGUUCUGUGGUUGCGUCUUGUCUUGUAGUCCGGUUGCGUGGUUGCGCUCGGAAUGGCCGAGUCUGCGGUCGCUCCUUUCAUCCGAGGCCCCUUCUCAGGAGUUGCUGGUGGGGUUGUUCAAGGUGGACUUCAAACUUGUGUUGAAGCUCGAAGAGUGUGUUUUAGCAGAUUGCUAUGGAUUUGUGGAAUGACCAUACUUGCUCCGUCCAAAAGAGCUAGGCGUGUGCCUUCAGACUGAAGAUCACGUCUCUGUAAACCGAGAUAACGACACCAUGCCUGACAGCCGUACCUGCUCUGUGCCUAGCCUCUGAUGUCCCUGCCAGCCCCUGUUCCACCCAAGCCUGUGACCCGACUAUCCUUUGGAUUUGCCUGCCUUGCUCCGUUUGCCUGUUGACGACCUGUGCCUGCUUGACUACUCUGUAGUACCAUUAAAAGCCCUCACUUGGAUCGCU